CCUUUUACAGCUUAGCAGAAAAAUGUUAUGUGACCUUUAAGAAUAGGAUAAAGUACAUCUUUAACAAAAGCAAAGAUUAAAAAACAAAUUGUAGAAUAAAUAGAAAGUGCUACACAAGUGUAAAACAAUACAAAAUCGUCCCACUAUCACAUGCAGAUGUGUCACUUUGCAAUGGGGCAAUGAUGAAUAGUACACAGAACAACCAAAUAAGUUUUUACAAUUUAUAAACAAUUUAAAGGUAUUUUAAAGUGUUAUGUACUGUUCUAAUUCCAGAGAUGUUUAUUUAUGUAAAUGGUGUGAGGCUUUACCAUGUAUAUAAUAGGCCAAUGGCUAUGCUGUGCACGCGAAACAUGUCCUGCCCCUUUAAAUCACGAAGGGAGUUACCAUGGAAACUGAAGGAGCAGGAGGACAGCUAGCUCCGUCUCCCGCGGUUUCUUCGCUGUUUUCAAGUAAGUUUAGUCCAUCAAAUCACACAAAUAAUACUAAAACCUGUUGUUGACACGCUUUUGUUAUAUAUUUACCUCAUAUAAAUGGCUUGUGUCUUUGAGAAAAGUUCGUUACCAUCCCAACAUGUUUCCGCACAUGCGGUCGGAACUGUGCUUCCGGUUUCUGUUGGUUUACUUGCUAAACUGAUCUCUUGAAAAAAUAACUCGUCGAAAAUAUAUUUUUUGUUUCCAAUGUAAUAUACGUGUUGUUAAUUUGCUUGUUAUAAGCUAGGACUUUGUUGUUAUUUUUGCUUAGCAGAGUUUAACGGAAGUUACGUGUUUUCCACAAAAGCCUCUUCCCAGCAAGCAAUAGCCGUCAUUUCAACGUCUCGUUUCAGUAUAGACCCGAUAUAGCCGGGCUGUGCCUAGCCAACUUCUAGCCCAAAUAAACUUUAAUUUGGUUACAUGUGGUUUUUGACCAAAUAAUUUGUGAGAUGUAUGCUAUUUUAUCAUGUAAGCAAAGUUAACAGCGAUUACAAGGUAUUUCGUUUCAUUUCUUUAAAGUGUUUUAUGCAUCGUCUGUACGUAGUCAUAAUUUAGCUCAUAAAUAGACCGACUACGAAUAAACCACGUUUAGCCCAGAAAUAACCAUGAAUUUAAUUACACGUUGUUUUGCCAAAAUGAUUUGUGAGAUGACGAUAUUUAAUAAUGUAAACAAAGUUCAAAGCAAUUAAGGUAUUUUGUUUCAUUUCUUUAAAGUGUUUUAUGCACCGUCUGUACUUAGCCACUAUUUAGCUUAAUAGACCGACUACGAACAAACCAUGUUUAGCCCAGAAUAACCUUGAAUUUAAUAAAAUUUUGUUUUUGUCAAAAUAACUUGCAAGAUUUAUGAUAUUUCAUCAGGCAUGCAAAGACACCAAUGAAUUUAAGAUGUUUGGUUUUAUCUGAAUAUCUGCAGUCACGCAUAACAUACAUUAUUUGACCGUAUUUCAAAGAUAAACAAAAUCCAGUUACAACUCCGAACCGCUAGAUGGCAGCAGUACACAAACACGAGGCCAAAUCGCGCGAGAAAGAUUUCCGCUGUUUGAAAAUCAACAACAUCAGCGAGCAGCCAGGAGGAAAGCAAUCUACCACACUCGUUUGGUCUUGUAAGUGGUUUUUUAUUAUUUUAUUGUACAUGUGUUUAAAAUUGAUUUACUUUAUUUGUUGUUGGAAUCGCGACAUUCUUGCGGGUAACUUAACAGUAUAACGUAGUAAGUAACCCAUGUUUUAUAAAACCUAAACAGUACAACCUGCAAUGUAAUAAAAUAGUGGAGGUAAUUGAGUCUAUGUAACGUUACACUGAAGAUCAACAUGAGUGAUUUGUAGGCUGCUUUUUAGUAACAGCAGUAACUUAGCAAAGUUAUUACUGUGUUGCUUACAGUAAUGUAGUUAGUUUACAAUUAUGCAUGCAGAGAUAGAUUGUGGGGGAAAGCUAUUUUUCCAUAUGGAUUUAACUUACAGGCCUUCAGUUUGUUGGAAAAAAGAGUUUUAUUGUGUUAGUGAGGGAAAACUUGCAGGUCAAUGGGCAUUAACCUUUAAGGUUGGUAAACACUUGUACACUGAAGCAUACAAUACUGUACAAUUACUGACAUAGGCAUGUGCUAUUCAGGUGUAUGGAGGGAGAAACUUGAGAGACCGUGCCGGAAGAAUGCUGGACAGAGUUCACUAAAAUUCAUUAAUUUCAAAGUUCAACAUGAAUGGUGGUGGUCCACUGCACAAGCAAGCAUUUGAAAAAACAUCAGUUCUCAGUUAUUAAAGAGCGUGAACAGGUUGUGAAGUGGCAUGCAAAACACGUUCACAGAAGAGGGGCAAAAAUUUUAUGCGUCCAAUUAUGGGCCGGAAUGAGAUUCUGGCAGUAUGAUAACCAUGCUGUGUUGAACAACUUCCCAGCAGCAACAGAACUGGAAGUGAAGGAUGCAAUGGGGGCAUUUCAAACAGUCACCAGGGAGCACGGGGGGUAUAGAAAUUAGUACAAUUAAUAAGUUGAAGUGAACUGAAGAUAGUUUGUUAAUGUUUAGAUGUUAUUUCAUUUUUAAAAUUGUAUUUUGUUAUUUAUGCUUUUAUUUUGUUACUGUUUUUAUUCUUUUUGUUAAAAGUAGUUUUUCUUCAUUUUGUCUUAUCUGAAUUUCUAUUGUAUUAACAAUAUUUUUGUAAUAAAUUGCAUGAUUGCAUGUUUAUGAGAACCUUUUUUAAUGGAUUAAAAAUAAUUCUUUAGCCAUUCUUUUGUUGUUUAUUAGACACACAAGUGUAGUCGUUUAAUAGCCGUCUAUUUAACGGCUAGUCUAUUCUUGGGCUAUGAUAGACGUCUACUAGAUUUUCACUGACAGCCCAAAUUUAGCCUUGUUUUAGCCUAGACCCACAUUCACCGUCUAUUAGACGAAUAUAUGUAGACGUUUAAUAGCCGUCUAUUUGAUGACUAGUCUAUUCUUGGGCUAUGAUAGAAUAUAUGUAGACGUUUAAUAGCCGUCUAUUUGAUGACUAGUCUAUUCUUGGGCUAUGAUAGACGUCUACUAGAUUUUCACUGACAGCCCAAAAUUAGCCUUGUUUUAGCCUAGACGUCGGGGGGUGUUUAGACGGCUACUAGACGUCUAUUAGCCGCAAAAUUGCUUGCUGGGUUUACUGUAUGUAUGUUACUGCUGAAACCGUCUAUAAGCGUUAGCUUUUGCUCUUGUUUAUGAACGUUUGGGCUUUUGAAAACAUAGAUGAGAGGUUUCAAAGUCUUUGUUAACGUUGUCAGUGCAUGACUGGAAGUAGGCAAAUUUAUUUAGUCUAAAUAUGCGAUGUACUGUAACGUCUAAACCUUGUUAAAUUGCACGGAGUGCUGAAGCUACUAACGUUAGUACGUAUGUUUUAUCGUAUACAAAUACAGACAUGUUGUUCUCUGAUUUCAGGAGUGACAAAAACCCUCUAUAAUAGAAGAGAAGCUCAAGAUUUCAACAUUUUCUGAAGGGAGUUGCAGACAGGUGUAGAAAACUGCUUUUCAAAUUUUCCACAUUUAUCACAGUUAUUUUAAGAUGUUGACAUCUAAACGUGAGUAGCAUUGUGUGAGCAAUAUUAAAUAAGUAAAUCUUACACUGCAUAUUUUAUAUAUUGUUUUCUCUGUGACAGAUUGAAUGUUAUGUUUGUAGAUUUGUCCAUGCUAAUGGCCGAGCAGUAGGGUUGGAACAGACCUGUCAGAAAACAUCUCUGAACCAUAUGACUAAUUUCAAAACAAUUUAUUCUUGAGAGGUGGCACCACAGUUAAAGACAGUGUUUUGAAGAAUUUUGAACUUCCUGCUCACAAACUACAUACUUCUCCAGUUAGUCUGACAGGCUAUCAAUGAGAAUGCGGCAUUACAGGACACCACUGAAAACUAUACCACUAAAAACUGAUUAUUGCUGCAGUCAGAAGAAACAGAUUAACAGCAACUAUCUGCUUGAGACCAAGAGAUUGAGCACUGGGUUAAGACAUGGUUGCAGCUUGCCACAGACAGAGAUGAAGGUCGUUGGGCAAAAGAGAAGAUUUAAAGGCAUAGCUCACCCAAAAAUGGAAACUCAUUUACUUACCAUCAAGAUGUUUCAAACUCUAUCAAAUGUAUUUGUUCAGUUACUGACUGUUAUAAAUUAUACAGGUUUGGAACAACCUUUGGGUGAGCAAAAUUACAGUUUUAAUUUUAAUUAGUGAACUAUCCCUAUUGUGAGUUUUAUAAGUUUAUUAAGAAAUGUUGAGUAUUAUAUCAGAGUUUUGUAUGUAAGGAGAUGGUAGUUGUACGUUUGUGUGUUAAUAUAGAUGGUUUCAGUGGCAACAACAUAAAUCACUUUCAUGGCCCAAACUUAACUUCGGGUAGACCUCCACAUAGAUUCAAUAACAACCGAGUAUCUCUGGAGCAGUUUUUUUUCUGAUAACAAACAAAAUAAAUAACCAGUAAAUAGCCUUAGAUCAAAUCAUAGCUAAAGCAUUUCAACCAUUACAUUGAUCUAAUGUUACUGGGUAAAAUUAAGCUUUACAAUUUUAGCUACAGAUCUUUGAAAAUGUUUGUACGGUAUACUGUCCAUUUCCAGAAAGGUAAUAAAAACAGCGUGCACAGUGACGCUGCUGACGUGUUAUCCUCAGACAUGUUUGUGAAGAUUGUUUUGUUUAUAGCGUGCGUCUCCCUCAGACUGUAAAAAAAGCUUGGGAACAAGAAAAAGCUUGGGCAAACAAGAUAACAUGUCAGCAGCGUCACUCCAGUGUUGUGCACGAGGUUCACAACAGACCUGGAAAAGAAGACGAUGCUGAAUAAAGUCAUAAUUUCUGUUAUUUUUGGACCAAAAUUUAUUUUCGAUGCUUCAACACAUUCUAACUGACCCACUGAUAUCACAUGGACUACUUUGAUGAUGUACAGUAUAUAUUUGAUCGUGUAUACACAUAUCUAAAACAUCUUAAACUGUUUCCGAAGAUGAACGGAGGUGUUACGGGUUUGGAAUGACAUGAGGGUCAUUAAUUACAUAAUUUUCAUUUUGGAUGAAAUAACCCUUUAAGUUUGGCCAGGUGUGUUACUGUGGCAACGCACAUGCAUCUAUGGGUUCCAGUAUAUCUUACUAUAUAACAUAUUAAUUUAACUAACAUGUUUGACAAAUAUAAUUAUGUUUAUUUAUAAAUUAUUAUCUGUAUUGGAUUUUUUAAAUGUUUAAUAAAGAAAUUUUGACUAUA
Paramisgurnus dabryanus is the source of this 5139-nucleotide long non-coding RNA. RefSeq lists it as uncharacterized. The record is from RefSeq and is a predicted model, not a curated record. Lineage: Eukaryota; Metazoa; Chordata; Actinopteri; Cypriniformes; Cobitidae.